GCAUAUCAAUAAGCGGAGGAAAAGAAACCAACAGGGAUUGCCUCAGUAACGGCGAGUGAAGCGGCAACAGCUCAAAUUUGAAAUCUGGCCCCAGGCCCGAGUUGUAAUUUGCAGAGGAUGCUUUUGGCGCGGUGCCUUCCGAGUUCCCUGGAACGGGACGCCAUAGAGGGUGAGAGCCCCGUACGGUUGGACACCAAGCCUUUGUAAAGCUCCUUCGACGAGUCGAGUAGUUUGGGAAUGCUGCUCUAAAUGGGAGGUAUAUUUCUUCUAAAGCUAAAUAUAGGCCAGAGACCGAUAGCGCACAAGUAGAGUGAUCGAAAGAUGAAAAGCACUUUGAAAAGAGGGUUAAACAGCACGUGAAAUUGUUAAAAGGGAAGCGCUUGUGACCAGACUUGCGUCCGGUGAAUCACCCAGCUCUCGCGGCUGGGGCACUUUGCCGGCACAGGCCAGCAUCAGCUCGCUGUCGGGGACAAAAGCUUCGGGAACGUAGCUCUCUUCGGGGAGUGUUAUAGCCCGUUGCAUAAUACCCUUCGGUGGGCUGAGGUACGCGCUCCGCAAGGAUGCUGGCGUAAUGGUCAUCAGCGACCCGUCUUGAAACACGGACCAAGGAGUCAACCUUAUGUGCGAGUGUUUGGGUGUUAAACCCCUACGCGUAAUGAAAGUGAACGCAGGUGAGAGCUUCGGCGCAUCAUCGACCGAUCCUGAUGUUCUCGGAUGGAUUUGAGUAAGAGCAUAUAGGGUUGGACCCGAAAGAAGGUGAACUAUGCGUGUAUAGGGUGAAGCCAGAGGAAACUCUGGUGGAGGCUCGCAGCGGUUCUGACGUGCAAAUCGAUCGUCAAAUAUGCGCAUGGGGGCGAAAGACUAAUCGAACCUUCUAGUAGCUGGUUUCCGCCGAAGU
RNAcentral lists this ribosomal RNA (898 nucleotides) under Colletotrichum lineola. RNAcentral's name for it is "LSU rRNA". It matches the Rfam family "Eukaryotic large subunit ribosomal RNA", at positions 38 to 967 of the family's 3401-position model. The record is from RNAcentral. Lineage: Eukaryota; Fungi; Ascomycota; Sordariomycetes; Glomerellales; Glomerellaceae.